AACGAACGCUGGCGGCAUGCCUAACACAUGCAAGUCGAACGAGACCUUCGGGUCUAGUGGCGCACGGGUGCGUAACGCGUGGGAACCUGCCCUUAGGUUCGGAAUAACUCCCCGAAAGGGGUGCUAAUACCGGAUAAUGUCUUCGGACCAAAGAUUUAUCGCCUUUGGAUGGGCCCGCGUUGGAUUAGCUAGUUGGUAGGGUAAAAGCCUACCAAGGCGACGAUCCAUAGCUGGUCUGAGAGGAUGAUCAGCCACACUGGGACUGAGACACGGCCCAGACUGGGACGGGAGGCGGCAGUGGGGAAAAGGGGACAAUGGGCGGAAGCGUGAGCCAGAGAUACGGAGUGGGUGAAGAACGCCUUCGGGUGGGAGAGGGAUUUUGUCGGGAAAGAAAAGCAGCCGGGGAAUACCGCGCUGUUCUGAGGGUACCUAAAGAAGAAGCACCGGCUAGCUUCGUG
RNAcentral lists this ribosomal RNA (458 nucleotides) under uncultured bacterium. RNAcentral describes it as "partial 16S ribosomal RNA". It matches the Rfam family "Bacterial small subunit ribosomal RNA", at positions 29 to 507 of the family's 1533-position model. The record is from RNAcentral.